GAGCGAACGAAUGCUGGCACCUGCCCAGGGUUACGAGGCUGAACAGGAUUUUGCCAGUUGAAAAGCUCACACCUGGAGAGAAUGCACGCGAGCUAUUUGAACUCCCUGAAAAGACUGGAUACCAAAGUAACACCAAACUGGUGUCUUGUACCCCAGCAACCAAACUAUGUGGUGGCCGGAACAGCAGCAGCAGUGGGAGCUGGCAGGAAGCUGAAACUCUAAGGGAGGGGCGCCUGAAUGGCUCAGCCAUUAAGUGUCUGCCUUCGGC
Long non-coding RNA from Ailuropoda melanoleuca (giant panda), 268 nucleotides. RefSeq lists it as uncharacterized. The transcript is spliced from 3 exons. The record is from RefSeq and is a predicted model, not a curated record. Lineage: Eukaryota; Metazoa; Chordata; Mammalia; Carnivora; Ursidae.